GUUCCACUACGGCGUUGGUGACUACCAACAAUGUUUUACGAUCUAUGUUUUGUCUUAACGGGAACUGAGCUGCGUCGGUGGCAGUAGACCGGGCUUGUACUCGGAAACUUAAAGCCUGACGCCACGGUACCCACCUGGUUUCUCCAGGUCGAAGACUGAGGUAAGACGGCGCUGCGGUGGAACU
Molecule: non-coding RNA, 184 nt
Filed under: Nodosilinea sp. P-1105
Lineage: Bacteria; Bacillati; Cyanobacteriota; Cyanophyceae; Nodosilineales; Nodosilineaceae
Description: 6S RNA
Rfam family: 6S / SsrS RNA
About the family: E. coli 6S RNA was the first non coding RNA to be sequenced, but its function was unknown until recently. It consists of 184 nucleotides that fold into an extended hairpin structure with a large single-stranded internal bulge.
Source: RNAcentral